Molecule: ribosomal RNA, 263 nt
Filed under: Acanthamoeba genotype T4
Lineage: Eukaryota; Discosea; Longamoebia; Acanthamoebidae
Description: partial 18S ribosomal RNA
Rfam family: Eukaryotic small subunit ribosomal RNA
Source: RNAcentral
AUUUAUGAAAGAUUAACUUCUGCGAAAGCAUCUGCCAAGGAUGUUUUCAUUAAUCAAGAACGAAAGUUAGGGGAUCGAAGACGAUCAGAUACCGUCGUAGUCUUAACCAUAAACGAUGCCGACCAGCGAUUAGGAGACGUUGAAUACAAAACACCACCAUCGGCGCGGUCGUCCUUGGCGUCUCGGUCCUUCACGGGGCCGGGGCGCGGGGGCGGCUUAGCCCGGUGGCACCGGUGAAUGACUCCCCUAGCAGCUUGUGAGAA